Molecule: long non-coding RNA, 1313 nt
Filed under: Volvox carteri
Lineage: Eukaryota; Viridiplantae; Chlorophyta; Chlorophyceae; Chlamydomonadales; Volvocaceae
Description: long non-coding RNA (VCAR_LNC003504)
Source: RNAcentral
CGUCUUCGGUGAGAUCACCAGGGGCACUGAGUAGCUGUUGUUGCCACCGUCCGCGCUCUCACGUUUUGAGACAAUCCAAACCAACUUGCAGCUCCAACAUCCCACGGGGCCAAGCUCAGCAUCCCAGGGUUGCUCUUCACAAGUCUCCUCGUUCCCCACAGGCGCCUGGAGCCUUCAUCCAGACCAUGGAACUGGCGCCAUCUGCCGUAAUUCGCAAGAUCUAUCCGUCAUCUCCGGCUGCUGGCAAUACGAAUAGCUCCUUUCUUACCGGACACGACCUGCUGGGGGGUAAGUGCAGCGGGCCAGUGAGUAUGUGAUGGGUGGCGGUGCAUGGGUAAGGAGGGAAGGGAAAGUCAGUCGGUUCGCGAGGUAGCUGAUCUGGGUUUUGCGGGUUUGGGUUAAUUUCGGCGGUUGCGGCCUGGAAAAUCCAGCAUGAACCCAGCAUGAAUAUGCUGUCGGGUAUGUAAGGUGGUAAUGAGAAUAUCUGGGACCCCCCGGGGAGCUCCCGCUGUGGAAAUAUGCAUUAUACCUAACAGCUAAAGCUUUAUACCUAACAGCUAAAGCUUUCGAUUGAAAGCCGAGGGGAUGUUCAGGGGUUCCCCGUUCGUGUGUUCUGGGGUUAUUUGGAUCUGGGUUAUUUCGGAUAUGCCAUAAGUUUGAUCUGGGUUAUUUUGGAUUUGGGUUAUUUUGCAUCUGGGUUAUUUCGUGUCUUGGUUAAUUUGGAUCUGCUUUGCUUUGGAUCUCGGUUGCUCGGAUCUGGUCGGCUCGAUUUGAUCUGGUUCUCUGUUCGAGACGCUCCUUCAUUGGUGCUGCCAACCUAGCGUCACCUCAGCAUCGCCUGUACGACGACCCGUUUCACGUCUUACGUGGGAGGAGAGGUUUGACUCCAUCACGCUGCGAAGAAGAACUAAUCCCUCGGCAUUAUUCUCUCGAGCUCCUGUUGAGGGCCUUAUGGUCUCCAUCUGUCUAUCUGUUGAGCAGUGGCUUGUAGGGCACAGGAUACAUGCCUUAUGGACGAACGUGCCGAGCAGAAAGCGUUGAGGAAGGGGUUUCAAAAUGCAACAUGCAGUUGCGUGGGGCUUAGGGCACAUGCCAGUGUUUUCGGGAACAACAGAAAUACAUACAGAGAUGGCUGGCAGGUGGCUAUUGCAGGUGGCUGGCAGAAGUUAAGGCCUGACUUCUGCUCCCGGAGAUUCCGGGGUCAAAUCUGCCUGCCGACCUCUCGGUGUAUGAGGGGUGUUGAAAUAGGAGGUGGGCCCCCAUCUCGUGGACGGUGUAGGACGUGAUUUUAUCGACUUGCGAGCUGACCAGGA